This 330-nucleotide unclassified non-coding RNA is filed under the name soil metagenome. RNAcentral describes it as "partial contains 5.8S ribosomal RNA, internal transcribed spacer 2, and large subunit ribosomal RNA". The stretch from base 1 to 120 matches the Rfam family "5.8S ribosomal RNA", at positions 35 to 154 of the family's 154-position model. The record is from RNAcentral.
GAUGAAGAACUUAGCGAAAUGCGAUAAGUAAUGUGAAUUGCAGAAUUCAGUGAAUCAUCGAAUCUUUGAACGCACAUUGCGCCCCCUGGUAUUCCGGGGGGCAUGCCUGUUCGAGCGUCAUUUCACCACUCAAGCCUCGCUUGGUAUUGGGCAACGCGGUCCGCCGCGUGCCUCAAAUCGACCGGCUGGGUCUUCUGUCCCCUAAGCGUUGUGGAAACUUUCGCUAAAGGGUGUUCGGGAGGCUACGCCGUAAAACAACCCCAUUUCUAAGGUUGACCUCGGAUCAGGUAGGGAUACCCGCUGAACUUAAGCAUAUCAAUAAGCGGAGGA